CUGGACUUACACUGUUUUAAAAAUGAUUACGUAUAUCGAAUGAAAACUAAGUAACAACGACGGCGAGAGGAGACUUGACGGAUGACGGGCGCUAGUCACCGUCAACUACUUGUGCCUCAACGGUCCUUGACGUCAAGCGUCAAGAGACUACUCAGCCUGACACUUUUCAUUCCAUCAAAGAUUGUUCGGAACCACAGCUUUGUAGUCUUUGUGCUCGUCUUCCUCGCAAACCUCGGGCUGCGACAUAACAAACCUGUAAAAUGGCUCAAUGCAGGUUUACAUAUGACACUUACCUGCUCAGAAUGUAUGGAAUGCCAGCAAAUUGAGGACCGUAACGGGCCGCAUUGUCGUAAAAUUCAAAAACAGGAAUGGCGUGAAGCUUCAUAUUGGCUGGAACAGCAAAAGUUUCUACCGAUAGAUAGCUUUUUGCACUCUUUAGGAUAAGAUACAUGGGCCGGGGCAUACGGGUACUGGAAAGGAUAAAUAAUAUGUUAUUCACUGCCGACCCUUGUCAUUGGUACAAAAAAUAAGCACUCACUAUAAAAGUGUCAAAGUGCGGUCUGUACCAAACACUCAAACAGUCUCUCACUUCCCAAUCCCUUCCUUCUUCAGGAGCAAGCCAGACAGUAUGGGGGAGGUCAUCCUCGCCUUUCCCUUUGAAUGUAGUUACGGGUACACCAAGCUGUUCAUUGAGACGAGUGAUGAGGCCUUCUGCGUCUGACUCGGAGGGGUCAAGGUAGCCACCAGGUCUUAUUUAUUGUCAACCAACUUGCAGGGCACUAAACAUAACGUUCACCUACAGCUUGUAGAAAGCAUUAGCAACCUGCAAGACGAGGACAUGAGGGAAUCCAUGGACCUGUGUGGGAAGAUUUAGCAAAGCCCUAGACGGACCAAUCGAAGUACUAACUGUGACCACCAUGAUAGCCUCAACAGAUCGCCUGGUUCCGCUUUCCGUGUAUUGAUCCUCAAGUCUUUUCAAUCUGUUGGUUACUGAGUUGUCUUCCUCUGGUUGACCUUCUCGUUCACUAGGGGAAAGCCAUCAGUUCCUGGUCGAGGAAGAAAGGUCGCGCUUUGCCAAUCACGCGCAGAACCAGUUAGGGAGCAGGUGAAGGCGGAAAAGGGGAAUGAAAGCAGAAUAUUUGCCACUCACAUGAACAAGUAAUUGCGGAGAGGAAACCUAUCGCAGGCUAUCAGUGUUUUAUACUUGUUGAUACUACGUCAACAAUACUGACGCUUCGAUAGUAUUGUGCGUAUUAUCAACCAUCUUUGACCAUCCACUCUAAGAUUGAGAAUAUAUCGGUGAAGAGAGGGUUGCAGAGAAGAAGAGAAGAGAAGAAGAGAACAAGAGAAUGUGAAAGUGAACAAAUGGAUAAGGAUGGAAGACAUUCGCGUGAGUGGUAUGUUGUUGACGGUUGAUUCACCCUGCGCUUGGGCCUCCCUCACAUCCUUUUGGAGGAGAGAACGCGCAUAGAUCUCCAGUUUUUCUUCCAAAAUAUCACUAACAAGAGCUAUAAUUGCAUAUUAGAUGCAUCUAUUCCAG
Molecule: small RNA, 1540 nt
Filed under: Cryptococcus neoformans H99
Lineage: Eukaryota; Fungi; Basidiomycota; Tremellomycetes; Tremellales; Cryptococcaceae
Description: Cryptococcus neoformans var. grubii H99 hypothetical RNA
Source: RNAcentral